Molecule: long non-coding RNA, 1931 nt
Filed under: Homo sapiens (human)
Lineage: Eukaryota; Metazoa; Chordata; Mammalia; Primates; Hominidae
Description: non-protein coding lnc-RAB23-53:5
Source: RNAcentral
GGAGGCGGUACUUCCUCCAGCAUUUGCCGCGAGUUAUUGGCAAGUUCCCCUGCAGUUGUUUGGGCUGUCGCUGUGGCUGGUUCUGCGGUGUGCGGCCAGCCAUGGAGCGCUCUGGGCCCAGCGAAGUGACAGGCUCAGACGCAUCGGGACCGGACCCGCAGCUUGUGGUCACCAUGGGCUUCACGGGGUUCGGGGUUCGGUAAAAAAGCUCACACAUUUGACUUGGAAGCAAUGUUUGAACAAACUCAAAGAACAGCUGUGGAAAGAAGUCACAAAACACUGGGCCACCAGGAACACACCUGUAGCCCAGCAAAGUUGAGGCCAUCGACUGGCUCAUCACAACAAGGAAGGCUGUGCACCACUGGGACCCAGCAGCAGCUCAGCAGCAGCAGUGAGAGGGCCUUGGGAAAGACUUGGAGGGUUUGGCUUAUACAAGACCAGAUUACAGAGGGGUAUUGAUUUGCCUUGCCCCCGCCCCCACCAUCACAGUGUGUCCCUGUCCAGUGUUGGUGCUGUGUGGCAUUGCUUGUGUCCAUAGGAGUCCAUCAAGGCAGAGCGGCAGAGCGGCAAGCAGAGCGGCAAGGCAGUUCAACCCAAUGGAAAUGGAUUGAAAGAGUGAAAGUCACUGGUCUCAAAGAAUCUACGGAAUUUAGCAUUUUGAAAAUCACAGAGCAAUUUUGGGUAGGUAUUCACAUGCACUAAAAAACCAGGCAAACAUCUGACUCCCAGGAUAAAGUGACUGAGAGCAGUAGAAGACUUGUUGAGCCUUAAGGAAUAAGAGGAAAAUUAUGUUAUGAAGUGCAGGAACAGCACAGACCCAGACGAGGGGAUGCAGCCCGGAGCCAGUAACCCGGCGCCUCCUCCUCCCCAGGGCGCAGCGCUGGCUGCUCCCCGGAUACCGUGAUCACACGUCCCAGGUCCUGAGAGCGCCUCAUAGGUAGACAGUUCUUUGGGACUUUUGGGACGCAGCACUUGAAGAGAGGUUUACCUAAACUUUCCUCCUGGGAGCCUGUCAUCAUUUGAAAGUAACAGAAGAAAGCUGUCAGGCUGAGGAAAGUUUCAACAGGCACUUGGUGAGAAUGGGAAGCAUCCAUUCAUUGGGAAAUCACGGGGACAGAGGAGGAAUUCACGGGAUCAGAGCACUGAGAAACUCCAGAGGCUUCUGGUUCACCGCCCUGAUUCCACAGAUGUGGGUCAGAGGCAGAGAUGGAAGUUGGAAUGGACAAGCCUGCCCUCUCCUCAGCUCUCCAUGGCUCUGUCCUCAGGCUGUUUCUGCAAUUUGACAUGAGGCCUGGCCCCAGGGAAACCAGUGGGGCCUCAUCUCCUCCCUGUGCUGCUCUGAGGUGGAGCCUUCUCAGGGUCAGUCCAGCUCUGGAGCCCCUCUCCAGCUCGGUCACCAAAGCUGUCUGGUCCCAGGGCAGUGUGGAGUGACAGGCACGCCAGCCAAUCCAAUCGGCCAUUUCAUACCCAAUGCAUGUGACUGAUAAAGAGAUAACACCCUGUCUCCAAGACACAGGCUUUACAUAAACAGCUUUAAUGACUUCUUCACUUAGGGACAAGACUCCUUAGUGGUGGAACCUCAGGCAUCCAUGCAGGAUGUAAGAAAGCUCCCGUAUAUACAUGAACUGAGAAGUGUGUAGAAGAGUAAAUACUGUAAUAGGUAAUAAAAUGUAUGUAUUUUUAUUUAUGUGCUACUUUGUCUUUCUCCCUCUCUGUGUAUAUACACAUACAUACAAAAAUGUAUUCAUUCUAUGGAAAACAUGAAAGAUGUAAUAUUCUUUACAUAUUUAAUUAAUGUAUUUUUUCUGAUCAUAUGAACACCACAAAUAUAAUUUUAUAAUUUUUUUACCUAACAAUAAGUCUUAAACAUAAAUAUACAUGGACAAUAUCAUAGUUUUUUUUUUAAUCAUAAUUAAAAUGGUUGUGAAACA